CCAGGGAUUGAACCCACGCCCCUCUGCAACGGAAGGCAGAUUUUAGACACCGGACCACCAGGGAAUUCCCGUGUUUUAUUUCUUGAAGAAACUUCUGACUCAUCUCCGUUACUCCUUCCUGCUCCACCUCCCCCGCCCCCGCCUUCUUUUCCCUUGGAAACGGCCUCAGAGAUUCCGGAAGGUGCUUCCUUACUUCUGAGCCACCUGCGUGGGAGGAAGCUGAGGACGUGAAGCUCCACCUCAGAUCAUCAGGGAUUAGAUCCCAGAGGUUGGGAACCCCUGUCCUAGAGAACCUGUCUGCAAAGCCUAAAAUAUUUGCCAGCUGGCCCUUUACAGAGAAAGUUUGUGGAUACCUGCUUGGAUGCACAGUGCUUGGUUUGGAGCGUGGCGACAGACGGGCUGAGCUGAGAACUGGAGCUGUCGGAAGGACGGGCACACUCUCCCAGUUCAACAAUCUGCCUGCAGGAAUCUGAAAGAGACUCAGGAUAUCUUAACUCUUCGAGGAAGCGGGCUUCUUAACUUGGAGUCCCUGUGGGGGUCACAGGUUACCGCAUGGUUGAUGAAGGGAUGCAAGGCUCUAGCUACAAGCCAGCUGGCAUGGUGGGGCGGGAAGAGCACUGCUCUGCGGUCUGUAAUGAAUGACUAGGUCCAGGCGCGACCCACCAGUGGCUGCCAACAUCACAAGAAGAGAUGAGACAUCAUACACCUCCUGAUGGAAGUGAGUGAUACCACCCACAGAGGAGUGCUGCCAAAAAAUAAAAACAAAAAAACCCUGAUCUCUUGUUUUGCCUCAUUUAUAGGAAACACAGGUGACAAGAGGAGCCUGUGCAAUGACCCCCAGGGGAUGUAAUCAAUAAAUUCAGACUGUGGGCAGUGCUGUAGAA
Bos taurus (domestic cattle) is the source of this 884-nucleotide long non-coding RNA. The record is from Ensembl. Lineage: Eukaryota; Metazoa; Chordata; Mammalia; Artiodactyla; Bovidae.